This 350-nucleotide ribosomal RNA is filed under the name Penicillium polonicum. Its description in RNAcentral is "eukaryotic LSU rRNA". The stretch from base 1 to 123 matches the Rfam family "5.8S ribosomal RNA", at positions 31 to 154 of the family's 154-position model. Lineage: Eukaryota; Fungi; Ascomycota; Eurotiomycetes; Eurotiales; Aspergillaceae. The record is from RNAcentral.
CAUCGAUGAAGAACGCAGCGAAAUGCGAUACGUAAUGUGAAUUGCAAAUUCAGUGAAUCAUCGAGUCUUUGAACGCACAUUGCGCCCCCUGGUAUUCCGGGGGGCAUGCCUGUCCGAGCGUCAUUGCUGCCCUCAAGCCCGGCUUGUGUGUUGGGCCCCGUCCUCCGAUUCCGGGGGACGGGCCCGAAAGGCAGCGGCGGCACCGCGUCCGGUCCUCGAGCGUAUGGGGCUUUGUCACCCGCUCUGUAGGCCCGGCCGGCGCUUGCCGAUCAACCCAAAUUUUUAUCCAGGUUGACCUCGGAUCAGGUAGGGAUACCCGCUGAACUUAAGCAUAUCAAUAAGCGGAGGAA